UCUGAUGGACAAACUUGUCCUGUCUGGUGACCAGAGACACAGAGCGGGACCUGAGUCUUCCAGCAAAGAAGUACAGGGAAACAGCUGCACCCAGACACUCAGAGACCUGGGGGAAGACAUAAAGACACGGCUGUCAGCUACAACCUCCGCAGUGGGACAGCACCAGUGGAGAUUCCAASACAGGAGGAAGGGAAGGCGGCACGGGAAGGAAAGGAGGUGAGGAGGGAGGAAGCUGAGGAGAAGUCUACAAGAAGGAAGAGGAGCCAGAAUCGGGAUCAGCCAGGUACACAGAUGAGCGGGGUAUCCUCCUUACCUACCACAGAAGAAGAAGAGACCCAAAACAUCAACCCCCACAAACCUUCACAGCCCKUCCCCGCAGGCCACUCUACAGCACGGGUCCUCUCUCAGAAGAGAACUCCCAAACACUCAGAGGGACCCCUCACACCCAGUGGCAGGAAAGGAGGCCAUUCUAAGAAAACCAACGUGACAGUAGAUGAACAGAAUCCACAGCAGGUGGAGGGACAGACACAGGAAACAGGUGAACAAACCAGCAMAGAGAAGCUGGAGGACACAUUGAAUAAAGAGGUGGAAUCACAGGAUCUCCUACUGUACAGAAAACGAAAAAGAGAAAAGUGAAUGAAGGACAGGAGCAGACCAGGAAGUCCUCUCCAAGGGGGGAAGGUCUUGAGGAAGAAGAAAAAGGACCGGGUCAAAGGUCAAGCUGAGUUUGUUGUCGGAAAACCUAAAGGCCAUGUGGACGUGGAGAGGACGAACAAGACCAGAGAGACCAAAGGCUUAUCUGAGACGUCUGCUUCUGAUGGAGACGUGAAGGUCACUGAGGACGAUAGUGCUGCACUCAACACACAUGACGAGGACAAGUGACCUCGUCCAAUCCCCUAGAUCCC
Salvelinus sp. IW2-2015 is the source of this 905-nucleotide non-coding RNA. The record is from RefSeq and is a predicted model, not a curated record. Lineage: Eukaryota; Metazoa; Chordata; Actinopteri; Salmoniformes; Salmonidae.